Molecule: non-coding RNA, 636 nt
Organism: Cinara cedri
Lineage: Eukaryota; Metazoa; Arthropoda; Insecta; Hemiptera; Aphididae
Source: the annotation of a GenBank genome assembly
GCAACGCAUAUUUAAAAUGUUAAAUAAUUUUAUAUUAAAAAUGAAAAUAUUAUGUUGGUAAUGUCAACAUUUCAAAAUUAUUUUACUGGAGGCUCUUAUUUUUCUAACAACUUGAUAUUUUCCCAUCGUGUCACACUUGCGCUAGCAAUGAAAAACCUACGAUUCUCGAUAAUCAUUUCGGUGGACGCUUUUUUGUCGAUCUUAGCAUAGUUAGAAAUUCGUUUGGUUAUGCCGGUAUAUUUUAAUAAUUAUAUCGAUAUAUCAAAAAAUUCGUUGACUUGUGGUUAUUAUCAACUUUAUAAUCCAUACUUAUUUGUUAUCAUACCAUACACAUACCUUCGAAUUUUGAUGCAGUAGUCGCUUCCAUCUUUUUGUUCAUAAUUCAAAAAUGUCAAUGUAAAGAAAAUCUAAUGUAAAAAAUAAUUCAAUUAUAAAUGUUAUGCUAGGUUAUUUUGUGAUAAUUUGAUAAGAAUAUGAAACAGGGAAAUGAUCGCGAUGGAACAUUAAGAAAGGAAGGAAUUAUACCGGUAUAAAAUAUUUAACCCACGUCAGGAGGCGAGUCAGAAAAACUAUUCCGGUAUAAACUUAAAUCAUAUACUAUGGAUAGAGCAGCUGUUGACAAUAUUUGAAGAAAAC